This is an RNA transcript of Dermacentor silvarum, 768 nucleotides long. RefSeq lists it as uncharacterized. The transcript is spliced from 2 exons. The record is from RefSeq and is a predicted model, not a curated record. Lineage: Eukaryota; Metazoa; Arthropoda; Arachnida; Ixodida; Ixodidae.
CGUCCGCAGAUCGCCCCUCAAGCGCGGGGCGCCGCUUUUCGGUGUCGCCUGUCGUCCCCGCCGCGCCAAUGGGGCUCCGGGGCCUCUUUGUGCCGCCUCGGCCGCCGCUUCCUGUCCGGCGCGCUCACCUGCCACGCGGCUCUACCAACGGUGGCCCGCCGUGCACAAAAUUUCCCAACAAUGGCAGCAGGAACGAUUUAUUUUUCUCACUGUGAGCUCUUUAGGCGUAUUUCUUUCCUCUCUUCGUUGUAUCUUCUUUCUUACCCGGUGCAAGCUUUGAAUCCAGUGCGGGAAUCUUAGAAACGCCGGUGUCGUGACAUCCACCGAAGCCGGGAGGAAGUUGCGCUCGACAAUGCACAUUGUUUCCUACCAACUUCUUUCCAGAUCGCAUGCUCCUAAACAGAAUGGAACCCACGAGCUUCCACCCAGAAUGCAAGCACUGCAAGGUGCCCAACACCCUCUAUACCACAUGGUAUGGGAAUGUGAUGGCACCCGCGUACAGCCCAUCAAGGAACCAACCGUGGAGCAGUUGGAGGCCCGGCUGACCAGCCCCGACCCUGAGGACCAGGCGAGCCUAGUGGACAGGACGCGGGCCCGGGCCCGCGGACUGAAGACGCCACGCGCCUAGGGUGGAGGUGGCGCCAUUGCUCCUUUGAUCAAUAAAGUUUAUUACUACUACUAUACUACUACGUGCGUGAGGCCCACAAAUAAAAAGAAUGCUGUUAAUGUAUGUACAUGAACUUUCACAAAAAAAUAAAAUAAAUAAAA